CCUACGGGAGGCUGCAGUGGGGGAUAUUGCACAAUGGGGGGAACCCUGAUGCAGCGACGCUGCGUGGGUGAAGAAGCGCCUCGGCGCGUAAAGCCCUGGCAGCAGGGAAGAAAAUGACGGUACCUGAAGAAGAAGCCCCGGCUAACUACGUGCCAGCAGCCGCGGUAAUACGGAGGGGGCAAGCGUUCUCCGGAUUUACUGGGUGUAAAGGGGGCGCAGCCGGCGAUGCAAGCCAGGAGUGAAAGCCCGGGGCCCCACCCCGGGACUGCUCUUGGAACUGCGUGGCUGGAGUGCAGGAGGGGCAGGCGGACUUCCUGGUGUAGCGGUGAACUGCGUAGCUAUCAGGAGGCACCCCGGUGGCGCAGGCGGCCUGCUGGACUGCAACUGACGUUGCGGCCCGCACGCGUGGGGAGCAAAC
RNAcentral lists this ribosomal RNA (418 nucleotides) under uncultured bacterium. Its description in RNAcentral is "partial 16S ribosomal RNA". It matches the Rfam family "Bacterial small subunit ribosomal RNA", at positions 338 to 773 of the family's 1533-position model. The record is from RNAcentral.